GAUGAACGCUGGCGGCGUGCUUAACACAUGCAAGUCGAACGGUGAAGGCGGAGCUUGCUCUGCUGGAUCAGUGGCGAACGGGUGAGUAACACGUGAGCAAUCUGCCCCUGACUCUGGGAUAAGCGCUGGAAACGGCGUCUAAUACUGGAUACGAGCUGCGAAGGCAUCUUCAGCAGCUGGAAAGAAUUUCGGUCAGGGAUGAGCUCGCGGCCUAUCAGCUUGUUGGUGAGGUAAUGGAUCACCAAGGCGUCGACGGGUAGCCGGCCUGAGAGGGUGACCGGCCACACUGGGACUGAGACACGGCCCAGACUCCUACGGGAGGCAGCAGUGGGGAAUAUUGCACAAUGGGCGAAAGCCUGAUGCAGCAACGCCGCGUGAGGGACGGCGGCCUUCGGGUUGUAAACCUCUUUUAGCAGGGAAGAAGCGAAAGUGACGGUACCUGCAGAAAAAGCGCCGGCUAACUACGUG
This 468-nucleotide ribosomal RNA is filed under the name uncultured bacterium. RNAcentral describes it as "partial 16S ribosomal RNA". It matches the Rfam family "Bacterial small subunit ribosomal RNA", at positions 28 to 507 of the family's 1533-position model. The record is from RNAcentral.